Long non-coding RNA from Hemicordylus capensis (graceful crag lizard), 2124 nucleotides. RefSeq lists it as uncharacterized. The transcript has 4 exons. NCBI's taxonomy places the organism in Eukaryota, Metazoa, Chordata, Lepidosauria, Squamata, Cordylidae. The record is from RefSeq and is a predicted model, not a curated record.
GCUGGAGGACCAACAAUGCUACCUGGGGCUGGCAAACCUUAAAAUGUUAAUUGUGUGUCGCUCACACUCCGUGCUGGGUCUGCAGCAUGUGCCCGUCUCUUUGCUAUGAGGGGGCUUCUCUGAGGGGGGCUUCUCUGUCAUGACCCAGGCCACACAGAGGCCCAUUGGGCAUGUGUGGCGGCCUCCACAUUAGCCACUGCGAUGAGGGUGAGACCUGGAACAGGCCAAAGACCGUCCAAACAGGGUGAUUUAAGGCAUAAUGGAGGCUCGUGGGGGAGGGAGAACCUCCGGAGACACACACACCCAUGGCCUUGAAGAAGCUCCCCCGGAGCGGGACUCCUAUGACACAAACAGCUACAUGACAAGCAGAAGUUCAAGAGGUGAAGCCUUGCGUAUUACGGCACCAGUGAACAACUUGUGGCAAUAAGAAAAGCCAGCUGGGCAGCGUGUUGGUGACAGUUAUAAAGCCACUUUCACCACUAUGCUGGGAGCAGUGUUUGAAUGUCUAAAAAAGAGCUUAAAAUAAAAGUUAUGCAGGCAAACUCCAGAGCAAAAGUCAGAAUUGUGCAAAUGCAGUUCCAGUGUUUGUGCAGGAAUGUUCUUGUGUGGUUGUGUGAACAUUUUUUUUAAAGAGCACGUAACACCUAGAGAUGUACAUAUCAGGUGGUAUAGAUAGACAGACAGAUAGAUAGAUAGAUAGACAGCCUGUGUAGAAUGUCAGCCAUUAGUAGUAGUAGCAGCAGCUGACAUCCUGACAUGGAUUGGUGCUUCUGAAAAAUUCAGCUUAACUCAUCACUGCUAGCUAAGUGGGGGCAAAGUUUGUUGACCUCCCCUUUCCCAGGCAGGGUUCUGUCAUUCAGCCCUGAGGGACAUAUUUUUGGGUGACACAGAGGGCUUCCAUGGGAAAUGAGAGGAAUUCACACAGAAACACACACAUACAUGUACCAGUGCAGUGUUGGUCUGCAACAUUUCUAGGAGAGAGCAUCCAUAAUGAGUGUAAUUAGUUUAAAAUUCCAUACACAGUUCUUUCUGCAAUACUAUGGGUUUGGUGCCCAGUGAAAUCACACAUUGCACAUGCAGGUUCUCAAACGGUGGUAAGUCAAGCAGUAAGCCAGUAACAUCUCAGUGAAAUGUAGGGAUGCGUGGAAGCGUGCCUUCCCAUCGGGCAUGAUGACUGAACAUGACCAACUCCAGUCCUCAUGCUGUAUUACUGACAUUUCAAUUACUUCAAGCUGACUUCUGUAACCAGGAAUUGAAGUUGGUUUGACCAGGUUGGAAAAAUGUCAGCAACACACAUUUUACCAACUAGGAACCGUUCAGGCAUCAUGUCUGAUGGAAGCGGGCACUAAUAUUUUAUCAAGAUCUUACCAGUUGACUGCCAUGCCAAUGGUCAUUAGAAGCCACCCAGGAGGUUGCUACAUAUGUGGUGGCUGUGUGUCUUGAGGUGCAAACAGGUAUACCUACCAACAGGGACUGUUGCUACAAUUCCUCAGUAAGUUUCAAAAGCCAGUGGUGACAAAAGAACUCUAAUAAACUGCUUUUAAAUGUAAACAUCUAUCAUUCUUCUCCUUUUUAUAAAUUAUAAUGUCUGUGUGAUAUGAAAUAGCUGUAUUAAGAAUGCAAGGAAAAUGUCCCUGGAUGCAUUUCAGCCUAUGACUUCAGGAUUUCCAGACUGUCAAACAGAAGAAGGUCCAUUCAAGACCCAAUGGUGUGGAGUGAAAUCAAUUCUCCUCCUUUCAAGGGGCUGCUUGUUAUAUCAUUAAAGAAACUUGAGUGGGAAGGGACUGUGCAGCCUCUUCUAUGAAUUGCAGAAAAAUUACCGGAACAUCUGAUGAACUGGGUUGUAGGCCACAGAAUGGGCUCUACAAACGUUUAUACCACAAUGCCUCUGUUACUAUUUAGAAAUCAUGGCUACAAGACUGCUUAAAAUAAAAAAAAAGUUCCUGUUUAAGAUGCCACAUUACUUUUUGAGUUUGACUUCUUUUGAAAUUAACUUUUUGAGAUUGACACAGAUGCUCAGUCUCAUCCCUAGGGAAAGAAUUUAUUUAAAAUAUUCUGAUAUCUCUUCUUAAUAGUAAUUCAUGUGACUUACAACAUAUUUUAAAUAUCAGACUGUAAAAACAA